AAAUUAUGUGAUCAAGCUGCUAAGGGCUGUUGGUGAAUGCCUUGGCAUCAAAAGGCGAAGAAGGACGCGGAAACCUGCGAAAAGCUACGGGGAGCUGGAAGAAAGCAUCGAUCCGUAGGAAUCCGAAUGGGGCAACCCGGUAAGAAUAAUAUCUUAUCAUUCAUAACUGAAUACAUAGGUUAUGAAAGCGAGACCUGCCGAAGUGACACAUCUCAGUAGGCAGAGGAAAAGAAAUCUAUAAGAGAUUCCCUCAGUAGCGGCGAGCGACAGGGGAAGAGCCUAAACCGAUAAUUCUAUUAUCGGGGUUGUAGGGCUUUACAUAAAGCGAAGUUAUCCUUAACGGAAUUACCUGGGAAGGUAAGCGAUACAAGGUGAUAGCCCUGUACGUGAAAAGCAUAACAAGCGAGUAGAGUACCUGAGUAGGGCCGGCCACGUGGAAUCCGGUCUGAAUCUAGGGGGACCACCCUCUAAGGCUAAAUACUCAUUGAUGACCGAUAGUGAACCAGUACCGCGAGGGAAAGGUAAAAAGAACCCUUGUUAAGGGAGUGAAAUAGAACCUGAAACCAACAGCUUACAAACGGUCGGAGGCCUAUGCCGCAUUUAAUGCGGAAUGGCUGACGGCGUGCCUUUUGCAUGAUGAGCCAGCGAGUUAAGUUAUAGGGCAAGGUUAAGGGACUUUCGUUCCGGAGCCGAAGCGAAAGCGAGUGUGAAUAGCGCGUUAAGUCCUAUAAUUUAGACACGAAACCAAGUGAUCUAUCCAUGACCAGGAUGAAGCAAGGGUAACACCUUGUGGAGGUCCGAACUAGUGUCUGUUGAAAAAGCCUUGGAUGAGUUGUGGAUAGGGGUGAAAGGCCAAUCAAACUUGGAGAUAUCUUGUUCUCUUCGAAAUAACUUUAGGGUUAACCUCAGCAAUUAAUAAUUCGGGGGUAGAGCACUGGAUCCACGAGGGAGGCUACCGCCUUACCAAAGGGAACCAAACUCCGAAUACCGGAUUAGAUGCUGGGAGAUAGACUGCGGGGGAUAAGCUUCGUAGUCAAAAGGGGAACAGCCCAGAUCGUCGAUUAAGGCCCCUAAAUCUAUGCUAAGUGAGUAAGGAAGUGAAGUCUCAAAGACAGUUGGGAUGUUGGCUUAGAGGCAGCCAUCAUUUAAAGAGUGCGUAACAGCUCACCAAUCGAGAGACUUCGCGCCGAUAAUAUACGGGACUAAAGCAUAGUGCCGAAAUCACGGGUUUAUAUUCGUUAAGAAUAUAAGCGGUAGAAGAGCGUUGUAUGUGCGAAGAAGAUAUACCGUAAGGAGUGUUGGAGCGCAUACAAGUGAGAAUGCAUGGCAUGAGUAAACGAUAAAGGAAGUGAAAAUCUUCCUCGCCGAAAACCUAAGGAUUCCAGGGUAAAGCUCGUCUUCCCUGGGUUAGCCGGUCCCUAAGCUAAGGCUGAAAAGCGUAGGCGAUGGAAAGCAGGUUAAAUAUUCCUGCGCCACCUAAGAUCUAUACAAUGGGGUGACGAAGUAAGUUAAGCACGCGGACGAUUGGAAAUGUCCGUUUCUGCAUGCGGUUGGUUGAUAGGUAAAUCCGUCAACAUAAUACCGGGUGUAGGACAAAGGGAACCUUCGGGGGAACUGAUGGUGUAGCGCGAUACUUCCAAGAAAUAGCCUCUAGUUUUCGAUGGUGACCGUACCAAAACCGACACAGGUGGGUGUGAAGAAUAUUCUCAGGCGCGCGAGAGAACGCUCGUUAAGGAACUCUGCAAAUUAUCCUCGUAACUUCGGGAGAAGAGGAACCGCAGACUGUAAUUAACUUCGCGUUAAGAGCAGUAGGCGGUCGAAGCGAAAUGGCCCAGGCGACUGUUUAACAAAAACACAGCACUCUGCUAAGUCGUCUAAGACGAUGUAUAGGGUGUGAAGCCUGCCCAAUGCCAAAAGGUCAAAAGGAGGUGUCAGCAGCAAUGCAAAGCACUGAAUUUAAGCCCUGGUGAAUGGCGGCCGUAACUAUAACGGUCCUAAGGUAGCGAAAUUCCUUGUCGGGUAAGUUCCGACCUGCACGAAUGGCCUAACGAUCUGGGCACUGUCUCGACGAGCGACUCGGUGAAAUUGUAGUAGCGGUGAAGAUGCCGUUUACCCGCAACAAGACGGAAAGACCCCGUGAACCUUUACUGUACUCUGAUAUGGGCUUCUAACUUUUCAUGUGUAGGAUAACCAGGAGACUAUGAACCAGGCUCGUCAGGGCUUGGGGAGUCAACGUUGAAAUACUGGUCUUGAAAGGUCGGAAAUCUAACCUCAUCCCGUGGAGCCGGGAGAGGGACAGUGUCAGACGGGCAGUUUGACUGGGGCGGUAUCCUCCCAAAAAGUAACGGAGGAGUCCAAAGCUUACCUCAUUGUGGUUGGCAAUCACAAGAAGAGCGUAAAGGUAUAAGGUAGGUUAACUGCGAGACCAGCGAGUCAAGCAGGUACGAAAGUAGGGCUUAGUGAUCCGGCGGUUGAAAGUGGAAUCGCCGUCGCUUAACGGAUAAAAGGUACUCCGGGGAUAACAGGCUUAUCGCCACCAAGAGUUCAUAUCGACGUGGCGGUUUGGCACCUCGAUGUCGACUCAUCACAUCCUGGGGCUGGAGAAGGUCCCAAGGGUUUGGCUGUUCGCCAAUUAAAGUGGUACGUGAGUUGGGUUCAAAACGUCGUGAGACAGUUUGGUCCCUAUCUGUUGUGGGCGUAGGAUACUUGAGAAGAGCUGCUUCUAGUACGAGAGGACCGAAGUGGACGAACCAAUGGUGUUCCGGUUGUACUGCCAAGUGCAUCGCCGGGUAGCUAUGUUCGGAAAGGAUAAGCGUUGAAAGCAUCUAAACGCCAAGCCUCCUUCAAGAUAAGGUAUCCCUAUGAGACCCCCUGAAGAUUACAGGGUUGAUAGGUGAGAUGUGUAAGCGUAGUAAUGCGUUGAGCUAACUCAUACUAAUUGGUCCAUUGGCUUGAUCACUUUU
This 2963-nucleotide ribosomal RNA is filed under the name Chlamydiota bacterium. RNAcentral's name for it is "Chlamydiae bacterium (freshwater metagenome) 23S ribosomal RNA". It matches the Rfam family "Bacterial large subunit ribosomal RNA". Lineage: Bacteria; Pseudomonadati; Chlamydiota. The record is from RNAcentral.